This 208-nucleotide ribosomal RNA is filed under the name uncultured Latescibacterota bacterium. RNAcentral's name for it is "uncultured Latescibacteria bacterium partial 16S ribosomal RNA". It matches the Rfam family "Bacterial small subunit ribosomal RNA", at positions 568 to 775 of the family's 1533-position model. Lineage: Bacteria; Pseudomonadati; Candidatus Latescibacterota. The record is from RNAcentral.
CGUGUAGGCGGUCAGGUAAGUGGAAUGUGAAAUGCCCCGGCUCACCCGGGGACCGGCAUCCCAAACUGCCUGGCUUGAGUAUGGGAGAGGAUGGAGGAAUUCCUGGUGUAGCGGUGAAAUGCGUAGAUAUUAGGAGGAACACCGGUGGCGAAGGCGUCCAUCUGGCCCAAUACUGACGCUGAGGCGCGAAAGCUAGGGGAGCAAACGG